This 2031-nucleotide long non-coding RNA is filed under the name Marmota monax (woodchuck). Lineage: Eukaryota; Metazoa; Chordata; Mammalia; Rodentia; Sciuridae. The record is from RNAcentral.
GCUGGAGCAGGCCCUCACAGCAGAGGAGCCGAGCCCAAGGUGCCAGGGCUGGGAGGGGUCCCGCCAUCCCCGGGGGGGUCAGCACAGAAUGGCCUGCACCCAUAGCCCUGCCCAGCAUGGUGGCCCAGAGAGGGGGCUUCCUGGAGCAGCUGAGGGAGCCAGAACUUCUACUGGGACUUGGGAGCCAGAGGCACCCUGAGGUGAGGGACAGCAAGAGAAGGGCCCCAGGUGAGUCGGAGGGCUCUAAAGUAAGGAGAAGGCAGAGGGAAAUGGGAUGAGAGACCCAGGGACACCCCAGUCCUGGAAGGCAAGGGCGGCACCAGGCACCCCCCAGGCCCUGAUGUAAGACUAACAGUCACAGAAGGAGAUGACUCUAUUCACACUGCCACAGCCGGCUGGCAGCCACUCCUGUGCCCCACUCCCAGCUCUCACCUGGGGACUUUGUUUACUGCCCCACCAGGCAGCCAGCUCUUUGCCCAGGGCACGCCAGGCAAUGCAGGCUGGUCAGAGGGAGCCCAGCUGCUGGCCCAGCUGGUGAGGAAUGCUGGCCCCGAGCAGCAUGGGCUGCCACUGUCCCCUUGAGCCUGUGUGUGCUGACCAACCUAGCCACCCACCCCAGCAGCUGCACGGGGCCUCCUGACUCCCAGCCAACUUGCCUGGGGUCCUGGGCUAUCACAUGGUUGUUGGGGUCCCAGCUGGGACAUGCCCACUUCACAGCAGCUGGAGGAAGGGCCCUGCAAAGCCACUCACUGCUGGGUGGCCCAGAGGCCAUGACCUCCCCUCCUGGCACAGCCCUCACCAACUCAAGCUCUGCCGUAAGGCACUGACGGUACCCCACUCCAGGCCUUCUGCAGUCCCCAAGCUCAGGCAUGAGCCAUGUGCUCUGCCUGGGGCACCCUCCCUGCUCAGAAACGAGAUGGCCUGCUCUGCAGCCCUGGGCCCAAGCUGGUGAGUAGCCGAUGCCGGCAGGGGCAGCAGGUUUGCAGAAAGGCUAAGGUCAGGCUGGGAGCCAUGGCUCUGCGCUCAGGACCACUGUCCCCUGAGGGGAGGGGAACGGAGGCACAGCUGCCAACCCCACCCCCUGCCCCUGGUCAGUGUGCAUUUCCACAGCAAGCUUACCUGACAGCCCCGGAGACCUUGCCCUCCUGCCUCAGUUCCCAGGAACCCCACUGCUGGACCCCUGUUCCAUGUGGCCAGGCUCAGUGGCCAGGCUAAGUCUGUAGAAGAGCCACAGGUAACUGCUGAGCCACGCCACAGACCCUGGGACCUAGAUGUGUCCUGGCGCCCACUUGCACAGGCAGACCUAGCUCAAAGCCACCGGGACCCACAGCCCAGUUUAGCGUCACCAUGGGAACUGGCAUUGGCAGGGGGCAGGCAGGGAGGGGGUGGGCAGCUCCUGGUGAAUCAGCUGACAUGGACGCCACGGCAGGAGCAGAGCAUUCCCAGGGGAUGUGUCAGAGCUGUCGGUGCUGCUGCACCAGGAGCAAGGCUGGGCGGGGAGGAAGUCACCACAGCGGUCCUGUCUCCAGGUGCCCUGUAGGAGGCCUCAUUCUUCCUUGCGCACAGAGGGUCCAGCUCUCAGAAAGCAAGGAGAGGUCAGGGGGUCCAGCAGGCAAGGAGAGGCUAGCCUUGCUCUGACUCCACUAGAGCAGGGGAGGACCAGGGCUUGAGCUGCAGACACAGAGGCCUUGACUCAGCUGACACUUGGCUGCCGGUGCCUACAGACAGGCCCAGCACUGACCGCUGCCUCCCUGUGCUAAAAGGAAGGGAGGCCCAGGCCUCGGGAGGCCCCUCAUUUGCCUUGUCCGCUGUGUGUCCCUGGCACCCUGACUGCCUUUCUGUCCUGCUGUCCUUCCAGAACCCCAUGUUCAGUGAUGCAUCCCUUCCCAAACUCCUGUCCAGUAGCGGUCAACUCCAGCUCCACCAUCCACCUCAACCACGGAGCAAGGCCUCAGGCAAGAAGGAAUCCAGCCAGAAGCUCUCUAUUUACCACCCGACUUCAGAAGCACACCCAUGGGGGACAGGAGCCUG